This 520-nucleotide ribosomal RNA is filed under the name uncultured bacterium. RNAcentral's name for it is "partial 16S ribosomal RNA". It matches the Rfam family "Bacterial small subunit ribosomal RNA", at positions 355 to 866 of the family's 1533-position model. The record is from RNAcentral.
UGGGGAAUUUUGGACAAUGGGGGAAACCCUGAUCCAGCCAUCCCGCGUGUGCGAUGAAGGCCUUCGGGUUGUAAAGCACUUUUGGCAGGAAAGAAACGUCGCGGGUUAAUACCCCGCGAAACUGACGGUACCUGCAGAAUAAGCACCGGCUAACUACGUGCCAGCAGCCGCGGUAAUACGUAGGGUGCAAGCGUUAAUCGGAAUUACUGGGCGUAAAGCGUGCGCAGGCGGUUCGGAAAGAAAGAUGUGAAAUCCCAGAGCUUAACUUUGGAACUGCAUUUUUAACUACCGGGCUAGAGUGUGUCAGAGGGAGGUGGAAUUCCGCGUGUAGCAGUGAAAUGCGUAGAUAUGCGGAGGAACACCGAUGGCGAAGGCAGCCUCCUGGGAUAACACUGACGCUCAUGCACGAAAGCGUGGGGAGCAAACAGGAUUAGAUACCCUGGUAGUCCACGCCCUAAAACGAUGUCAACUAGCUGUUGGGGGCCUUCGGGCCUUGGUAGCGCAGCUAACGCGUGAAGUU